Molecule: ribosomal RNA, 422 nt
Filed under: uncultured Flavobacteriaceae bacterium
Lineage: Bacteria; Pseudomonadati; Bacteroidota; Flavobacteriia; Flavobacteriales; Flavobacteriaceae
Description: bacterial SSU rRNA
Rfam family: Bacterial small subunit ribosomal RNA
Source: RNAcentral
UGAGGAAUAUUGGACAAUGGGUGAAAGCCUGAUCCAGCCAUCCCGCGUGAAGGAUUAAGGACCUACGGUUUGUAAACUUCUUUUAUAUAGGGAUAAACCUCUCCUCGUGAGGAGAGCUGAAGGUACUAUAUGAAUAAGCACCGGCUAACUCCGUGCCAGCAGCCGCGGUAAUACGGAGGGUGCAAGCGUUAUCCGGAUUUAUUGGGUUUAAAGGGUCCGUAGGCGGGCUAAUAAGUCAGUGGUGAAAUCUCAUAGCUUAACUAUGAAACUGCCAUUGAUACUGUUAGUCUUGAGUAUAGUUGAGGUAGCUGGAAUAAGUAGUGUAGCGGUGAAAUGCAUAGAUAUUACUUAGAACACCAAUUGCGAAGGCAGGUUACCAAGUUAUAACUGACGCUGAUGGACGAAAGCGUGGGGAGCGAACA